This 292-nucleotide ribosomal RNA is filed under the name uncultured bacterium. RNAcentral's name for it is "partial 16S ribosomal RNA". It matches the Rfam family "Archaeal small subunit ribosomal RNA", at positions 455 to 747 of the family's 1478-position model. The record is from RNAcentral.
GUGCCAGCCGCCGCGGUAAUACCGGCAGCCCGAGUGAUGGCCGAUCUUAUUGGGCCUAAAGCGUCCGUAGCUGGCCGCGCAAGUCCGUCGGGAAAUCCAGUAGCUCAACUACUGGGCGUCCGGCGGAAACUACAAGGCUUGGGACCGGAAGGCUCGAGGGGUACGUCCGGGGUAGGAGUGAAAUCCCGUAAUCCUGGACGGACCACCGAUGGGGAAACCACGUCAAGAGACCGGACCCGACGGUGAGGGACGAAAGCCAGGGUCUCGAACCGGAUUAGAAACCGUGUAGUCC